This 204-nucleotide long non-coding RNA is filed under the name Bos taurus (domestic cattle). Its description in RNAcentral is "long non-coding RNA NONBTAT022336". Lineage: Eukaryota; Metazoa; Chordata; Mammalia; Artiodactyla; Bovidae. The record is from RNAcentral.
UGUAUGUUCACAUUUCAAAAGCACAGGGGUGAGGAUGGGGCAUGAUUAACACCGUCACUGGUCAAUGAAGGAGAAAAGAGAUAAAUGUCAAUAGAAGUUUUUCAGAGAUCAACCUUUGGCAGGUGUAUUACUAAGUAGUUAUACUAUCCAAAAUAAUGCAAAAGGGUUGUAUAUUUAAAUACACACAAAAAAUGUUUACCAUUG